CUACUUACCGGGCAGGGGAGACACCGCUGAUCAGGACGGGGGUUUUCCCAGGCCUCGGCUCACCUGGUGCACCGCGGGCGUCCUGAUCCUCGCGAUUUUCCCCCAAAUGCGGGGAAACUCGGACUGCAUACUUUGUGGUAGUGGGGGACUGCGUUCCCGCGCGCACACG
RNAcentral lists this small nuclear RNA (169 nucleotides) under Echinops telfairi (small Madagascar hedgehog). RNAcentral describes it as "U1 spliceosomal RNA (ENSETEG00000023573.1)". It matches the Rfam family "U1 spliceosomal RNA". Rfam says of the family: U1 is a small nuclear RNA (snRNA) component of the spliceosome (involved in pre-mRNA splicing). Its 5' end forms complementary base pairs with the 5' splice junction, thus defining the 5' donor site of an intron. The record is from RNAcentral. Lineage: Eukaryota; Metazoa; Chordata; Mammalia; Afrosoricida; Tenrecidae.